GCAUAAUUUGUAUGUGCAUGAUGCAUAUGUCUGAAAAUGAAAUGCGUCCGGUUAAUCGACUGCGCUGAUGGAAUGAAAGCAAACAACUAGGUCUGCCACCAUUGACCUGCCACUUAAUCAAGAGAUUUGGUGGGCUUAGAAGGUGCCGACUGCUGAUUGUGUUUUGAAAGAGCCACUGGUGGUGAGGACCUCAACAAUGCAAGAGCCAAUCUCCAAGUCUUUCAAUACUCCGGUGAGCAAGAGAACACAGUCAGAGGUUGCGACCUCCGAAUCAAGACAGCAACCCAAAAGGAGGAGAUCCAGUGUCUGUAGUGCUCAGCUGAUGGCUCAAGAAGAAAAACUGCAGAAAUUGAAGCUUGUUAGCCACUACAGGAAGAAUCAUAGCCUGCCGCAGCUGGAGCGGCUGACACAGUGCUGGACGAGGGCGGCCCAGCAGGCGCUGCGCGACCUACAGCAGCGGCUGCAGAGCCGUGAACAAGACGUCGCCAUGGCGGAUCUCCUGCGACACAUGGGCGUCGACCCCAAGCUAGUCAUGUAUGAUGCUGAGACGGACAGCU
Pollicipes pollicipes is the source of this 557-nucleotide long non-coding RNA. RefSeq lists it as uncharacterized. The record is from RefSeq and is a predicted model, not a curated record. NCBI's taxonomy places the organism in Eukaryota, Metazoa, Arthropoda, Thecostraca, Pollicipedomorpha, Pollicipedidae. The transcript has 3 exons.